ACAUAAUUAUAGACGAGAAUUUGUCUUGCGAUUAUGAGUUUGUAUAUAUUAUGGUAGAAACUUUUUAGUAAUUUUUAUAAAUUCAAAACUAUUACAUUUUCACCCCUAAAAGAUUUCAUAUCAAAAUUAAUAGGUUCUUGUGUAGUGUAGAUUCUUGACCUUGAAGCAAAUAGGUUUAUAAAGCUCUAAAAUAUGGAUAGUUUAAGGAGAUACUUCU
Molecule: long non-coding RNA, 217 nt
Filed under: Carica papaya (papaya)
Lineage: Eukaryota; Viridiplantae; Streptophyta; Magnoliopsida; Brassicales; Caricaceae
Description: long non-coding RNA (CPAP_LNC010010)
Source: RNAcentral